RNAcentral lists this ribosomal RNA (568 nucleotides) under Bacteroides sp. BDNS3. Its description in RNAcentral is "bacterial SSU rRNA". It matches the Rfam family "Bacterial small subunit ribosomal RNA", at positions 338 to 905 of the family's 1533-position model. Lineage: Bacteria; Pseudomonadati; Bacteroidota; Bacteroidia; Bacteroidales; Bacteroidaceae. The record is from RNAcentral.
CCUACGGGAGGCAGCAGUGAGGAAUAUUGGUCAAUGGGCGGGAGCCUGAACCAGCCAAGUCGCGUGAAGGAAGAAGGAUCUAUGGUUCGUAAACUUCUUUUGCAGGGGAAUAAAGUGCAGGACGUGUCCUGUUUUGUAUGUACCCUGAGAAUAAGGAUCGGCUAACUCCGUGCCAGCAGCCGCGGUAAUACGGAGGAUCCGAGCGUUAUCCGGAUUUAUUGGGUUUAAAGGGUGCGUAGGUGGUUUGAUAAGUCAGCGGUGAAAGUUUGCAGCUUAACUGUAAAAAUGCCGUUGAAACUGUCGGACUUGAGUGUAAAUGAGGUAGGCGGAAUGCGUGGUGUAGCGGUGAAAUGCAUAGAUAUCACGCAGAACUCCGAUUGCGAAGGCAGCUUACUAAGCUACAACUGACACUGAAGCACGAAAGCGUGGGGAUCAAACAGGAUUAGAUACCCUGGUAGUCCACGCAGUAAACGAUGAUUACUAGCUGUUUGCGAUACACAGUAAGCGGCACAGCGAAAGCGUUAAGUAAUCCACCUGGGGGAGUACGCCGGCAACGGUGAAACUCAAA